RNAcentral lists this ribosomal RNA (468 nucleotides) under uncultured bacterium. Its description in RNAcentral is "partial 16S ribosomal RNA". It matches the Rfam family "Bacterial small subunit ribosomal RNA", at positions 28 to 507 of the family's 1533-position model. The record is from RNAcentral.
GACGAACGCUGGCGGCGUGCUUAACACAUGCAAGUCGAACGGAAGGGCCCUGCUUUUGUGGGGUGCUCGAGUGGCGAACGGGUGAGUAACACGUGAGUAACCUGCCCUUGACUUUGGGAUAACUUCAGGAAACUGGGGCUAAUACCGGAUAGGAGCUCCUGCUGCAUGGUGGGGGUUGGAAAGUUUCGGCGGUUGGGGAUGGACUCGCGGCUUAUCAGCUUGUUGGUGGGGUAGUGGCUUACCAAGGCUUUGACGGGUAGCCGGCCUGAGAGGGUGACCGGCGACAUUGGGACUGAGAUACGGCCCAGACUGCUACGGGAGGCAGCAGUGGAGAAUAUUGCACAAUGGACGGAAGCCUGAUGCAGCAACGCCGCGUGCGGGAUGACGGCCUUCGGGUUGUGAACCGCUUUCGCCUGUGACGAAGAGUGAGUGACGGUAAUGGGUAAAGAAGCACCGGCUAACUACGUG